RNAcentral lists this ribosomal RNA (989 nucleotides) under Cordyceps qingchengensis. RNAcentral's name for it is "SSU rRNA". It matches the Rfam family "Eukaryotic small subunit ribosomal RNA", at positions 87 to 1087 of the family's 1831-position model. The record is from RNAcentral. Lineage: Eukaryota; Fungi; Ascomycota; Sordariomycetes; Hypocreales; Cordycipitaceae.
CUGCGAAUGGCUCAUUAUAUAAGUUAUCGUUUAUUUGAUAGUACCUUACUACUUGGAUAACCGUGGUAAUUCUAGAGCUAAUACAUGCUAAAAAUCCCGACUUCGGAAGGGAUGUAUUUAUUAGAUUAAAAACCAAUGCCCUCUGGGCUCCUUGGUGAUUCAUGAUAACUCUUCGAAUCGCACGGCCUUGCGCCGGCGAUGGUUCAUUCAAAUUUCUUCCCUAUCAACUUUCGAUGUUUGGGUAUUGGCCAAACAUGGUUGCAACGGGUAACGGAGGGUUAGGGCUCGACCCCGGAGAAGGAGCCUGAGAAACGGCUACUACAUCCAAGGAAGGCAGCAGGCGCGCAAAUUACCCAAUCCCGAUUCGGGGAGGUAGUGACAAUAAAUACUGAUACAGGGCUCUUUUGGGUCUUGUAAUUGGAAUGAGUACAAUUUAAAUCCCUUAACGAGGAACAAUUGGAGGGCAAGUCUGGUGCCAGCAGCCGCGGUAAUUCCAGCUCCAAUAGCGUAUAUUAAAGUUGUUGUGGUUAAAAAGCUCGUAGUUGAACCUUGGGCCUGGCUGGCCGGUCCGCCUCACCGCGUGCACUGGUCCGGCCGGGCCUUUCCCUCUGUGGAACCCCAUGCCCUUCACUGGGCGUGGCGGGGAAACAGGACGUUUACUUUGAAAAAAUUAGAGUGCUCCAGGCAGGCCUAUGCUCGAAUACAUUAGCAUGGAAUAAUGAAAUAGGACGCGUGGUUCUAUUUUGUUGGUUUCUAGGACCGCCGUAAUGAUUAAUAGGGACAGUCGGGGGCAUCAGUAUUCAAUUGUCAGAGGUGAAAUUCUUGGAUUUAUUGAAGACUAACUACUGCGAAAGCAUUUGCCAAGGAUGUUUUCAUUAAUCAGGAACGAAAGUUAGGGGAUCGAAGACGAUCAGAUACCGUCGUAGUCUUAACCAUAAACUAUGCCGACUAGGGAUCGGACGAUGUUAUUUUUUGACGCGUUCGGCACC